Molecule: RNA transcript, 2029 nt
Organism: Symphalangus syndactylus (siamang)
Lineage: Eukaryota; Metazoa; Chordata; Mammalia; Primates; Hylobatidae
Gene: SLC2A8
Gene name: solute carrier family 2 member 8
Source: RefSeq, a predicted model, not a curated record
UUGGCUGCGAGAGGCCGGUGCGGGCGGCACUCGCGCGGCCGGUGGCGGUUAGGGCGCCAGAGCUGGCCGCGGACAUGACGCCUGAGGACCCAGAGGAAACCCAGCCGCUUCUGGGGCCUCCUGGCGGCAGCGCGCCGCGCAGCCGCCGCGUCUUCCUCGCCGCCUUCGCCGCUGCCCUGGGCCCACUCAGCUUCGGCUUCGCGCUCGGCUACAGCUCCCCGGCCAUCCCGAGCCUGCAGCGCGCCGCGCCCCCGGCCCCGCGCCUGGACGCCGCCGCCGCCUCCUGGUUCGGGGCCGUCGUGACCCUGGGUGCCGCGGCGGGGGGAGUGCUGGGCGGCUGGCUGGUGGACCGCGCCGGGCGCAAGCUGAGCCUCCUGCUGUGCUCCAUGCCCUUCGUGGCCGGCUUUGCGGUCAUCACCGCGGCCCAGGACGUGUGGAUGCUGCUGGGGGGCCGCCUCCUCACCGGCCUGGCCUGCGGUGUUGCCUCCCUAGUGGCCCCGGUCUACAUCUCCGAAAUCGCCUACCCAGCAGUCCGGGGGUUGCUCGGCUCCUGUGUGCAGCUGAUGGUCGUUGUCGGCAUCCUCCUGGCCUACCUGGCAGGCUGGGUGCUGGAGUGGCGCUGGCUGGCCGUGCUGGGCUGCGUGCCCCCCUCCCUCAUGCUGCUGCUCAUGUGCUUCAUGCCCGAGAGCCCACGCUUCCUGCUGACUCAGCACAGGCGCCAGGAGGCCAUGGCCGCCCUGCGGUUCCUGUGGGGCUCCGAGCAGGGCUGGGAAGACCCCCCUAUCGGGGCUGAGCAGAGCUUCCACCUGGCCCUGCUGCGGCAGCCCGGCAUCUACAAGCCCUUCAUCAUUGGUGUCUCCCUGAUGGCCUUCCAGCAGCUGUCAGGCGUCAACGCCGUCAUGUUCUAUGCAGAGACCAUCUUUGAAGAGGCCAAGUUCAAGGACAGCAGCCUGGCCUCGGUCAUCGUGGGUGUCAUCCAGGUGCUGUUCACAGCUGUGGCAGCUCUCAUCAUGGACAGAGCAGGGCGGAGGCUGCUCCUGGUCUUGUCAGGUGUGGUCAUGGUGUUCAGCACGAGUGCCUUUGGCGCCUACUUCAAGCUGACCCAGGGUGGCGCUGGCAACUCCUCGCACGUGGCUCUCUCGGCGCCUGUCUCCGCAGAGCCUGUUGAUGCCAGCGUGGGGCUGGCCUGGCUGGCUGUGGGCAGCAUGUGCCUCUUCAUCGCCGGCUUUGCGGUGGGCUGGGGGCCCAUCCCCUGGCUCCUCAUGUCAGAGAUCUUCCCUCUGCAUGUCAAGGGCGUGGCGACAGGCAUCUGCGUCCUCACCAACUGGCUCAUGGCCUUUCUCGUGACCAAGGAGUUCAGCAGCCUCAUGACCUGCAGCCCCAGCGCCUGCCCACCUUGGCAUCUCCCAUUAAGUCACAUCAUGAGGGCAGAGAGCAGGGGCCUGUUUUUGCGACACUUGAAGUACAGCGUGGACCAGGCAGAGCAAGGCGCCGCAUCACAUCAGUUCCAGAAGAUCUGCAGCAGCUGCUCCGAUUUCAGUGAAACGUGUGAAACCGUGCACAGGACUUUGAACAACUCUCAGCUGUAGCAAAUCCAGUUUCCCCUCGGGCCUUCCAGAAGCAGGGUCCUGUCUCCGCGCAGGAGCAUCUCCCGUGGCAAUGGCCGCACCUCGGCAUCCGCAUUACCAGUGCUUGCGUGGCAGUCCACUAAUCGGACACGCAUGACAUUUGGUGCUGUGACUCGGAUCGGGGGACCUCCCUUGGGAGAUCAAUCCCCUGUCCUCCUGCUCUUUGCUCCAUAAGAAAAAUCCACCCACAAGCUCGGGUCCUCAGACCAGCCCAAGAAACACCUCACCAAUUUUAAAUCGGGUAAGCGGCCACUUUUUACUCUUCUCCAACCUCUCAUUAUCCCCCAACCUCUUUCUUUCAAUUUCGGCGCCACCCUUCAGUCUCUCCCUUCGCUUAAUUUCAGUUCCUUUCCUUUUCCAGUAGAGACAGAGGAGACUUUUUUUUUUUUUUUUUUUUUUUU